RNA transcript from Nymphaea colorata (pocket water lily), 5475 nucleotides. RefSeq lists it as uncharacterized. The record is from RefSeq and is a predicted model, not a curated record. Lineage: Eukaryota; Viridiplantae; Streptophyta; Magnoliopsida; Nymphaeales; Nymphaeaceae. The transcript has 10 exons.
CAUGUAAACUCGAGGCCGUUUCAGAGAAGAAAACACUGCCACAUUGGCACCAUAGCAUCUGUUCCUGCUGCCAAUGCAAGAUGUUUGAGUUCCCGUUUUAUCUGUCAGUGACUAUGCUCUUCUAAUUUCAAAGACCUUGUUAUUCUAGAAAUAUUUACCAAUCAAAAUAUUCCAAUGUUGCUUUACCAGAGCAGCAUCUGAAGUUACACAGCUGAAGUAACAGGUUUUGUUUCCCUCUCUGUUCUAAGAAAUAAGUACCAUUAAUGGCGGCCUGGAACUUGCUGUGGAAGCUCAUCAUCUUGGCCCUUCCAGCAUAUUCUUCUGCCACUGAAUAUAUGAGCAUGUUGCUAUCUAGGUGAUUGGUGCAAUGGCUUGAGGUGGAGCUGAUAGAUGACUAGUUUUCAUUUUGAAUGUUAAGGGACAUCAACUUUUUAUGCAUCCCCUUAAAAAAGAGGUCAAAGUGAGAUGUAGAUAUCCAGAGAUACCAAAAGUAAGCCUCCUAUCUUAAGAAGACAAGAAUUGGAUAGGAGCUUCAGUUCUCUGUUCCUAUCUUAAGAAGACAAGAAUUGGAUAGGAGCUUCAGUUCUCUGUUCAGCUGUGGGUCUUCCCCUUUUGCUGAAUUCCACCCUUCUGUAACGCACUUGUUGCAAAAUUUUCCACAUUGCGUCAGGGAAAGCACGUGUCGCGGUUUCCUGUCGUGGGUAGCACUGCAUUACUCCGUCCCUCCCCUUAGCUCGCUGCUGCGUCACUUUUGGAUUACGUGCUCGAACCUAUAGCGGAUAGUUUUCUUGCGUCAGAGACUGAACCCCGCGGGCGCCCUUCCUUCCGGCCGGUUCCGAAAAUUUUCCCACCGCAAAACUCGAUAAGUCGUAGCCUUGACCACUGUUCACCUCCGCCCUUCAGCCGUCGUUUUCUUCCCUGCGACGUCGCCUCGUUCGCAGCUCUCCCCUGAUCAGCCUGUUGUUGAGUUCGCCGUCGAUCUUUUUCAGGCAAAGCAUCUCCUUUCGCAGGCGCGCUUCACCUCCGCCCUUCGCUUCACCGUUCGCGGUUCAUCUGCUCGCCGUCGUUCGUUUUGUUGUCUUCUCCCAAUCAGACGCAGGCGGACCUCCAGCAGUCUUCCGGCAGAGGGAUCUUCCUCCAUCUCGUGUAUUGUCCCUCCUAUGUGAAUUGGGUAUAAAGAUUACGAAGGCACAGGUUCAUCCCAUGUGAAUCGGCUACGUGGACUUAGACAGACCCUGGCCAAAAUAUGCUGCGCUUAUACAUUUGGGUGGGGAAAGACUCAAUUCUUAUCAUUAUGUGCAUGAUACAUGCUGAGGGAAGAAAACUAUCACGCAAGUUGAAGAAUAUAUAACAAGAAAGGUGACUACUGAAGAUGGAAGACCGAAGUUGGAUACAGAAGGAAAGAAUGAGCAUUGAGUAUGUGAAAGGAGUUGAAACCUUCAUCAAAUUUGCCAUCACAAAUAGCAUGGUAAUUGAUGGAAAAAUUAGGUGCCCAUGUGAAAAGUGCAACAAUUGUUUAUUUCAAUUGAUAAGAGAUGCGAUUGAUCAUAUUAUAUCCUUUGGUUUUCUCCAAAAUUAUACACAUUGGCAUUAUCAUGGGGAGUUAGUGAUGCCAUCUCAAAGUGGUCAAGUUGGCCCUUCUCAUGCUUUAAAAACUAGGAGGUUGGGUCGAAAACAGAAAUUCAAAGUGGAGGUGAACAAGCAUGGUCAACCAAUAGGUGAAAAAGCACAAAAAUUCAGUUCAUUCAUUGGUAAAUUGGCACGAAACCCACAAGUUACACCGCUUACCUAUCACACAUGGAAAGAAUUACCUCAGACAUACAAAGAUGACGUCUGGAAUCGUGUCAAGGAAAAGUUUGAAGGCCCUGGAGUUAAGGUUACUUGGGUCAUGAAAGAACAUGCAAAAUUGUGGAGAUGUUGGAGAUGUAAUUUGAGGAAGCUUUACAAAAAGCAUAAGGCAUUAGAGAGUUGCAUGAAACAUUGCAAGGUCACAAUCCCUGAAGAUCAAUGGAGAUGUUUGAUCCAACACUUUGAAACAACAAAAUCAAAGGAGCAAAGUGAAAAAAAUAAAGCAAACCGUGCAAUGCUAAAGUUUCCUCAUAAUACUGGCACAAAAAGCUUUGCUCGACUUCGAGCAGAAAAAGUUGCAGAAGGUACACCAGAGCCUUCACGCGCUGAGGUCUUCAUUAUGACGCGGACAAGUAAAAAAGGAAAUUGUCAAAAUCAAGCGACUGGUGAAGCAAUUGCCCAAAUCAAUGAAGCAAUGUCUCAAUUACCCGAAGGCAUUAGAGAUGAUCCAGCUCCAACUGACAUUUUGUCACGGGUUAUAGGGCCAGAUAAAUAUGGACAAGUGCAUACAUAUGGAAUGGGGGUAAAACCAUCAGAAUUUUUUGACGAAGCUCCUAGUCGAAGUGAGUUGAUGGUUCAAAAUGCAGUCUUGCGUGAACAAUUGGAUGAUCUACACAAUAAGGUGGACCAAGUAGAAGCCAAUCAAGCUGAAAAAAUACGUCAGUUGGAAGCUAGCUCAAAAAAAGUGAAUGAAUUACAAGUCCAGAUCAACUUGUUGAUGGAUAUGAUAAAAAAUGAAGAAGCAUCUGGAAAUUAAUGGGGUGAAUAUUCUAUGCAAUAAGUUAAUGUUCUUAAGUAUAUGAUUGGUUGCUCAAAUGGCUGAUAUAACUCUUCUCAUUUUGUUGUUUGUGGGGGUCUGAAGAUGAACUGAUUUUGUAGACCUUAUCAGACAUCUCGUGUGACUGGGCAAAGAACAUUGUAAAGAACAUGUGUAAUUGUUGGUUUGGAACUUUUAAUGUUGAUUAGAAAAAUGUUUCACAUGUAUGCAUUUCAUCAUGUUUGCACACAAACUUGAUUUCAUACUUUUUGAUGGAUACAGGUAAUUGGUGGUAUGCAUGCAAAAUUAGUUCCUUAUAUAUUCUUGCAUUUCUGUAUGGUAAAAUCACACUAAGAUAUUAAGUGUUGCAUAUUGAUGGAAUUGUUGCUUAGAUGGCAUGAGGUUGACCUCGGGUCAUUUUUGUCUUAUCAUUUUCUCUGUUCUUUUUCAUCCUUAAUUAUUGCAUCAAUAGACUCUUUAUGUUUAUGCCUGUAGAAUCAAUAUCAUCAAUGUACACAUAAAGCUUGAUGGCUUUGGUUUAGGGAUCUUUCUAUGCUUCAUCUGUUUGACAUUUCAUGGUAUAAUGCUUGUCAUCCACUACGGUGGUAUUUGUUUAAAUAGGAUUUCAGAUGAGUUGAGAAAUGGGAAAUGAAGGUGAUGAUACACAGAUGGUGAGUAUCAGAGGCUCUUAUUGCCCAAGAGACUAUUGGAGUUAGAUAUGAUGUUGAUCUUCAAUGUCUUACCAACCUUUUUCCUGGAAACCUCUCCCAUAGCUAGAGGGCAAUGGUUUUGAGAAUCAUCUUUUGCUGUAUAAUCUUGAUUUUCCUAUAUUAUGGAGUACAUAUUUGAUAUCUAUGGACUAUGGUUUUUGGAAGAGCUCCAGCCCUCAGAGGCUGGGCUAUUGGUGAGUUGUUGAGCUUCCCGUACUCUUUGAGCUAAAGGAAGUUCAUGGCAGAGAGGAGAUUGAAAAGGAGGUGAUUGCAGCUUCUCCAUAGAUAUGUACUUGAGGGCAGAGAUGGGGAGACGUCAUGUUUAUGGAGCUUUAUUUAUGUUUGAAUCAGCAAUGGGACUUUUCUGCUGCUGGUUACUUUAUUAAUAGGGAUGAACACAUGAUUCUAUGUAACGAGAUUCCUGUAAUUAUCCAUUUGUCCAUUUUAUUGCUGCUUCCUUUCAAUGUUAUGUCUUUCUUUUCCUUCUUUAUGACAAUUUGAUGUAGACACUGUACAAGUGCAGCUGCUGUAAAAUUCCCAACUGCACAUGAGCUGUGGGAAGAACUGGAAAAUUAACUGCUGGCAUCCUGUAUAGGCCACUGAGUGAGUUGAAGCCACUGAUUAGUUCAAAAAUUGUCACUGCAGUUUAUUUUAUUGAUUCCAUCAGCAAACUCGAAUGAUGAUUGUAACGAUACUUGCUGAUUAGUGGUAAGCUUUUGUGUGUUGUUUUUUUUCUGCUCACAUAGCCUACUUUCUAAUGUUGAAGCGAAUAUGACCUGUAAAAUUGCAUAUAUCUACAGUGUUUAGUGCUGCUAUUAUCCAAGGGAUAUGCUACGUAGAAUUUUGCAGCUUGUUGCUCUCAUUAUUUUGUUUGGUGUUUUAGCAGUGGGAACUGCAAGCCGGGGAAAGUGCAGGGAUUUAAUGAAACGGAGGUGUGUGCAUUUGGUUAUAGACUAGCCUUAACCAGCCCAUUAAGCCCCUACUUGAGUUUUGAUCUUGAAGUUGUUAAAGGUCACAGGUUUGUCACAUGCAGCUUUCAUGGAAUUUUCCAUUACUUCCCCUCCUGCCUCCAAUGUACAUACCUGUGUGUGUGUGUGUGUGUAUAUAUAUAUAUACGUAUAUACUAUAUACAUAUAUAUAUAUAUAUAUAUAUAUAUAUAUAUAUAUAUAUAUAUAUAUAUAUAUAUAUGCCUUGAACUUGGUAAUGGUUCACUGGUUAGUCAUUUGCAGCUUUUAUGAAAUUUCAUUAAUCCAUAUCUAUAUGCAUCUUUAUAUCUAUAGAUAUUUGAGGGGUUAAACUGUUCCAACAUUGACAAUGUUUUCCUGAACAGCUGACAAAAUCAUAUUAUCAACAUGCUGUGGUUCAGAUAAGGCACAAGCCGUGGUCAUGUUUAGAGUGUAUUACUCUCACAAGGGACUGGUGUGAUGGCAAUGGCAGAUAGAGGAAUCCCUACCGCUUCAUUCAUGGAGAAGUGUAGACCCAAGUCACAUGGACAUUUUGUAUUGGAUGAUGCACCCUUGUCGACAUGACCCAACACAGGUGCAGGUAUGGGUGCGGCUUAGGACAUCCAACACAUGCUUGAUCCAAUCGGGUGUGGUCAAUGCACCCUGGUCUGUAGCUGACCAUUUUUGGACUCGGUCAAACUUGACCAUUUUGGCCCAACAUAUGGGCUUUGUUUUUUCAACUCGCCACAUAUAUGCAUGGGAGAACAGCAUAUUGGUCCAAGAUUUCUGGUGACUCUUCAGCUUCCAUUGCAGCUAGUCGUGGAUUUGCAGCAUGCAGCGUUAUUUUGCGGCUUUUGCUUCAGCAAAACAAUGUCUACGCAACACAUGGAUCAUCUUCUUGUAUCUUCAAUUGUAGUUUUUUCUCUGGCACUAUCUUCUUUUUUCUAGCAAACCUUUGCAUCUCCGGCAGUUCUGUUCUGCUCUGUGGCAACUAGCAUUGAAUCGCCUUCUCCUUCUACCUGCCCUGCUUUAAUGUAUUCUUUUUAUGGUCAAUGCAUAUCACGUACUUUGUUUAUUUGUACGUAGUUGUUUGUCUGAUUUUAAACAGUUCGUUGAUACUUGAUAGUUUAAACUGCAUUGGCCAUGUCUGGACAUUCUUCUUUGAUUAUGUAAAACGUUGUCUCUUAUGCAGCUUUGUAAUUUGCAUUUUCUUUA